Long non-coding RNA from Canis lupus familiaris (dog), 3148 nucleotides. RefSeq lists it as uncharacterized. Lineage: Eukaryota; Metazoa; Chordata; Mammalia; Carnivora; Canidae. The record is from RefSeq and is a predicted model, not a curated record. The transcript has 2 exons.
AAGGAUCUGAGUCUUUCCCCGCGGAGACAGCCCUGAAGAACUCCUGUAACGUCAAACUGGCAAUUUCCAAGAAGCAAUCUGGUACCUGCAUUCCCAGAGAGACCCACAAGAAAGAAAAGACAUGAGGCUAUGGAGCCCUAAUGCUGUGCAGACCUCAAUGCUGCCUGUUCCUUGGGUGACGGGCUGAGAAGAGCAUCUCUACUCUCCUGGCCCUCGAUUUCUGCAGCCCUAAGAAUUUCCCCUGCUCUCUCAUCAUGUACAAACCUUAAAAUGAUGGUCCCUGUGAGACAGCCCUGGGAAAAAGCAUAUGAGGGGCACUCUACUUUGUAGGAAAAGCUGCUUCUACUAAUGGUGAUGUUUUUAUUUCAGAAUGAAGACUGGCUGUAUAUUCAUCUUGUGACAUCCAACUGUUGCCUAAAAGAAGAUCUUGAGUCUUAUCUUUGUGGGCAAUACAGACAUUGGCCCCAAGCUGCCUUGGCUCUCACUGACUUAAGGACAGACACAGAAGGGGAUCUUUUCUAAAACUCAAUCACAAAGGGAAGGCAAUCAUCAGACCUCAUGGGACCCAAGUAUAUGGUCUUACCUCAAAGUCAUUUCCCUUGUUAUAGUGCAUAUUGAGAGUUCGAUAAAGUUCUGAGUUGCGGAGUACCACCAGCGUUUUGGGGUUUGUGACACCAUCUGAAAUCGCUUGCCGGGCAAAUUUCUCCAUUUGGAUGUAAUAAAACUCACGGAAGUUGCUGAACCAUUUGAUCAUCUGGGAGGUUAUGCAGCGGUUGAACUGUACAAACAAUAGGCUCCAUCAGGUCAGAUGUUUACCAUGAGGUGCUCAGCUUCCAGUUCAGCAUAGGGCUUAAUAAGGAGGGCUUCAACCACCAUUAAAAAGGGCUUUCGUUUUUUAGAGAGGAAGGGGUGGGGGGCAGAGAGAAUCUUGAGCAGUCCCCAACCCAGGGGUUGAUCUCACAACCCUGAGAUCAUGACCUGAGCUGAAAUCAAGAGUUGGAUGGUUAACUAACUGAGCCACCCAGGCACUCCAAAAAGGGCUUUAUUUUAAAAAGAAGCCACAGCUGUUUUCCUAGCCUAUUCACUUAUACACAGAAAAAUCUCAAUUAGCUACAAUGGCUAUUAGAAAAUAUUGUUUUCGUUAUACUAUAUGUUGGCAAAUUAAAUUUUAAUUUUAAAAAAGAAGGAAAAAAAUGUUUUUGAUAUACUGGAUUUAUGACUUAAAAAAAUUUUUUUAAAUUUUUUUACCCAUGAAAAGCUUUCCAUGGUGUCUAGUAUAACAUUGGGAGGACCUGGGGUCAAAGCCAGAUGUUUCUGCUGUGCAUGGCAGCCCCAGAGCCUUCUGUCAGGUCAAGUGCAAAAAGAAGGGAUAAAGGUGUAGAUUGGAGAGCAGUUCGUAGCAACCAUACAGUUGCAGAAUGAAUUGAAAUUAGAGCUUGGUGCAGGAGCCACUUGAGCAACUGAAUAUGAGGGAAAGAUCUGAAAAAAAUGCAAAGAUGUAGAUACAAAAUAUUAGCAGCCCAAUCCCAACACCCAGGGUAGAGGAGGCCCUCAGAAGCUUUUCAGGAACAGGCAAGGUCUGGUUCCAACCACCAGAGGUUGAUUCUCCUGUCACACUCGAUCUCUCUGCGCCUUCAAUCAGGUUUGAAAGGUAGCACUUUGAAUAGAAACAAGACAGUGAGGAAAAAAAAAAAAAAAGGAAACAAGACAGUGUACAACCCUUUAUAUAUUCUUUCUUUUUCAUGGUCUCCACAGUAGAGACAAAACACUAGGCUGAGAUGCCAUUUACUAAUGUUUCCCUCUCCCUGCCACCUUCCCUCACCCCCCUCUACCCAUUUGUUUCUGGGAAUAUCUACAGCUCAAAAGUUUAAAAUUCAGAUACCUAAUCUUUGUGGCCCAAAGUUAUUCAUGCAGAGUCUCAACCCAGAACUGGAAAUCCUACUGAUGCCAUCAGCAACAUGAAGGGGACCUGAAGUGCUUGCCUCCCACUGGCCAGAACCCAGUGCCUCUUGGGAGUUUUGCAGAGGCUUUCAGAGGUGAUAAAUGACUCUACCUGGACAUCAGGGAAGUAAGCCUUCAGGAGGUUGGAGCUGGGGUAGCGUGUGAAGAAAAACAUCAGUUUGGCCUUCUUCAAGUGACCGGGAUUUAGGCCCUCCUGGAUUUAUCUCAGCGUCAAGGAAAACUAACACCAGUUUGUCAGAUAAUUUUUAUCAAUUUAUCCAAAUAAUGAAUUGUCCUGCUCCUUAUGGUUUCUAUUUUAUUUCAUUUUAUUUUUUUCUGGUUGAAUGGUGUAUUAGUUCCAUUUUUUUUGUCUCUAUGAAGUCUGAUCAGAUACACUUUUUCUUAGGGUGCCUGGCUGGCUCAGUCGGUAGAGCACAUGAUUCUUGAUCCUGGGGUCUUGAGUUCAAGACCCCCACUGGGCUUGAGCUUACUGAAAAAAACUAAAAAAAAAAAAAAAAAAAAAGAGAGAGAGAGCUUUUUCCAGAUGUUGAAUACCAUAUAUGUACGGUAGAUUUGCAGAAUUUAAAAAACAUUUUGAUGUGUAAAAGUUCUGUGGCACAUAGGAUCUCAGCUUGUUGUACUUUGUGUGUGUGUGUGUGUGUGUGUGUGUGUGUGUGCGUGCGCGCGCUUUCAGAAUAGAAUGGGAAGAGAUGGCAAGUCUGUGCCAGAUCUCAAAACCCCACAUAGAGAUUUCCUUCCCCUUCUCUGCCUCAGUUUCCCUGUCUGUAAAAUGAGAUGAGCUGACUGGUCCCUGUUCUACUCUCACAGCUCCCUUUGCAGUGUUCAAGCCAACAAAUGCCUAACCAGCCUGAGUACCAGAUCCCAGUUUGCUUUGGCUCAGGAAGCUUGAAUUUCUUGGCUGUGCGUGCUCCCAGCAUGGCUGGCAGAGCUCUCCCUCACCCCUUCCCUGUGAAAUAUUUCCUUGCUGAAUCAGGCCUUCCUUACCCUGGGCUGUUGAGGCUUUUUGUACAAAUCUCUGUUGUAGCAGUGACCUUCCUGGAAGUUUUAUCGCACGUUGUUGUGUCCCCAUUUAGAAUGUGAGCUCCUUGAGGGCAAGGAUCUUAUCUUUUCAUCUUUGUAUUCCACACGCCUAGCCCAGUGCUAGGAAUGUAGUAGGUGCUCAAUAAAUGAUUGUUGGCUGAAGGAA